Molecule: ribosomal RNA, 468 nt
Filed under: uncultured bacterium
Lineage: Bacteria
Description: partial 16S ribosomal RNA
Rfam family: Bacterial small subunit ribosomal RNA
Source: RNAcentral
GACGAACGCUGGCGGCGUGCUUAACACAUGCAAGUCGAACGGUGAAGCUCCAGCUUGCUGGAGUGGAUCAGUGGCGAACGGGUGAGUAACACGUGAGCAACCUGCCCCUGACUCUGGAAUAAGCGCUGGAAACGGCGUCUAAUACUGGAUACGAGAAGGGUCCGCAUGGGCACUUUCUGGAAAGUUUUUCGGUUGGGGAUGGGCUCGCGGCCUAUCAGCUUGUUGGUGAGGUAAUGGCUCACCAAGGCGACGACGGGUAGCCGGCCUGAGAGGGCGACCGGCCACACUGGGGCUGAGACACGGCCCAGACUCCUACGGGAGGCAGCAGUGGGGAAUAUUGCACAAUGGGCGAAAGCCUGAUGCAGCGACGCCGCGUGAGGGAUGACGGCCUUCGGGUUGUAAACCUCUUUCAGCAGGGAAGAAGCGAAAGUGACGGUACCUGCAGAAGAAGCACCGGCUAACUACGUG